RNAcentral lists this ribosomal RNA (701 nucleotides) under uncultured Enterobacteriaceae bacterium. RNAcentral's name for it is "bacterial SSU rRNA". It matches the Rfam family "Bacterial small subunit ribosomal RNA", at positions 801 to 1502 of the family's 1533-position model. Lineage: Bacteria; Pseudomonadati; Pseudomonadota; Gammaproteobacteria; Enterobacterales; Enterobacteriaceae. The record is from RNAcentral.
UGUAAACGAUGUCGAUUUGGAGUUUGGGGGCAUGACCCUUGGGCUCCGGAGCUAACGCGUUAAAUCGACCGCUGGGGAGUACGGCCGCAAGGUUAAAACUCAAAUGAAUUGACGGGGGCCCGCACAAGCGGUGGAGCAUGUGGUUUAAUUCGAUGCAACGCGAAGAACCUUACCUGGUCUUGACAUCCAUAGAAUCUUUCAGAGAUGAGGGAGUGCCUUCGGGAGCUAUGAGACAGGUGCUGCAUGGCUGUCGUCAGCUCGUGUUGUGAAAUGUUGGGUUAAGUCCCGCAACGAGCGCAACCCCUAUCCUUUGUUGCCAGCACGUAAUGGUGGGAACUCAAAGGAGACUGCCGUUGAUAAAGCGGAGGAAGGUGGGGACGACGUCAAGUCAUCAUGGCCCUUACGACCAGGGCUACACACGUGCUACAAUGGCGUAUACAAAGGGAUGCGAAGGUGCGAACUGGAGCGGACCUCACAAAGUACGUCUAAGUCCGGAUUGGAGUCUGCAACUCGACUCCAUGAAGUCGGAAUCGCUAGUAAUCGUGAAUCAGAAUGUCACGGUGAAUACGUUCCCGGGCCUUGUACACACCGCCCGUCACACCAUGGGAGUGGGUUGCACCAGAAGUAGAUAGCUUAACCUUCGGGAGGGCGUUUACCACGGUGUGGUUCAUGACUGGGGUGAAGUCGUAACAAGGUAACCA